AUGGUGCUAGUAACCACGAGAGCGCUAUGGUAUCUGCUUUGGAGGCCGUAUGCCGUGGCCAGGUGGUUCCGACGGCAGGGCAUCAGAGGUCCGCCUUACAAUCUCCUGGUUGGGUCCCUGCCGGAGUGCCAGAAGAUGAUUGUCGCCGGGAGAGCCAAGGAUCUGGACACCAUCUCCCACGACUGCAUCACUACCGUGCAACCCUUCUUCCAGAAAUGGGCCUCCAUGUAUGGGAAAACAUUCCUAUACUGGCUGGGGCCGACACCAGCACUGUGCUCUACGGACAUGGAGCUGGUGAAGAAAGUGUUAACCGACAGGACGGACAUGUUCCAAAAAGACUACUCAAAUCCUAGCCUGGAAGCGGUUCUGGGGAAUGGGGUUGUAUUUGCAAACGGACACGACUGGAAGCGGCGGCGCAAAUUCAUCCACCCGGCUUUCAACCAAGAGAAGAUCAAGUCCAUGUCAGCAAUAACGUUGGAGUGCACACAGCAGACAAUGGAACGGUGGCGCAACAGGCAGCAAGCCGAGAUAGACAUGAUGCACGACUCCGACGAGAUAGCCAUGAGUGUCAUUGCGAGAGUGAUGUUGGGCAAGUGCUACAAGGAGGCCUGGGAGGUGUUCAUCGCCGGAAAGGAGCAGCUGAAGCUAGCUACUUAUGCGUUUGCGGAUCCUCCGGUACCUGGAUUAUGGUACCUGCCAACACGUCGCAACCGUCGGGCAUGGUAUCUUGACAAGCUUGUGAAACAUAAGAUCUCACAGAUCAUAGAGGCGCGACUCGCUAGCGGCGUCUACGAAGAUGACCUGCUCGGGCAGAUGCUGCAGCUGCAGCUGCAAACAUGUAGCAGCGGCAGCACCGAGACCCUGAGCACCGAGGAGAUGGUUGGCGAGUGCAGGACUUUCUUCGCGGCUGGGUACGAAACCAGUGCCAGCCUCAUUACCUGGGCGAUGUUCCUGCUCGCCAGCUACCCACGGUGGCAGGAGAUGGUCAGGGAGGAGGUCGUCCGGGAAUAUCCUGCUCACCGGUUACCCAUAGGUGACGCCCUCGGCAAGUUGAAGCUGAAGAAUAAACGCCGUGGUGACUUGCAGCUUAACAUGUUGCUCUUGGAGACACUGAGGCUCUAUGGCCCCAUAGCUUUCCUCCAGAGGAAGACUGCCUCAGACACUAUCCUAACGCACGUGAAGGUGCCGAAAGGAACGAUGAUAACAAUACCAUUAGUUUUGUUGCACCGGGACAAGGAGAUUUGGGGACCCGACGCCGACGAGUUUAAUCCGAUGAGGUUCCAGAAUGGCUUAUCGAGAGCCGCCAAGUAUUCACACGCGCUGCUGGCCUUCUCAUUCGGGCCGAGGGUUUGUGCCGGGCAAAACUUCGCCAUGGUUGAGGUGCAGAUUGUGAUAGCGACCAUCAUCAAGAGUUUCUCCUUCACCCUGUCCCCCACUUACGUGCACAAGCCCAGCAAUUUCAUCACGCUGAUGCCCAAGUACGGGCUCCCUCUCAUUGUGAGGAAUCUGCAGCUGACUGCAUGA
Molecule: ribosomal RNA, 1524 nt
Filed under: Triticum aestivum (bread wheat)
Lineage: Eukaryota; Viridiplantae; Streptophyta; Magnoliopsida; Poales; Poaceae
Description: partial small subunit ribosomal RNA
Source: RNAcentral